Molecule: long non-coding RNA, 5202 nt
Organism: Trifolium pratense (red clover)
Lineage: Eukaryota; Viridiplantae; Streptophyta; Magnoliopsida; Fabales; Fabaceae
Exons: 38
Source: RefSeq, a predicted model, not a curated record
AUUUGAGGCUGAAAGGUUGGUGAUCUGGUGUUGUUGGUCACUUGGAAUCAAAUGAAAAUUCUAGCCGCUGGCAUAGUAGUGGAGACAUUCCUACUGAUAGGUAAAGUCCUACAUGCUCAUCUACUCAAGCUCCUCUUCUGACAAAGACUUCAUUUCCUUUCAGAGAGGAUUCUCUCCCUUGGUUAUGAAGUAAUUUCAAAUGUGCUGGAGACUGGUCCGACAGGGUUAGUUUCUCCACAUUUUACAGCUCUAUUGGAAUCUGCAAUCUUCCCAGCAUUGGUCAUAAAUGUAAAGGACAUGUCAGAGUGGGAAGAAGAUGCUGAUACAGUAUAUACGGAAGAAUCUUCCUUCAGGACGAAGUUAGUGGAUGAAGGGGGGAUUUAUUCACUGCCAGAAAAAGUGCAGUAAACUUACUUGGUGUUACUUCAAUGUCAAAGGGGCCACACCAAUGGAGACUUCCAUUGUCAGUUUAUCAGCCAAGCGGAAAAAAAUGUCAAAAGAACAAAAGAAGCAAUCAGUGCCAUUCUAAGGGAGAGUUAUAGAUUUGUGUUAUUUGUAAGCAAAUCGAUGGUUCAUGCACACAAUGUGUCAAGUGUUCCACAUGUCUCCAUGCCAUGUGUGCGUGAAGGACUGAUUAUCGCAUAGAGAGUGCCACUUUUAAUUAAUGUUGUCUCUUCUGGAACUUGGGCAAUGAUUCCCACUCCUGGAACGCCUCAACAAGUACAAUCAGGCAUGCAGCCGCUUGUGAAUAAUGCAGCUGCUGCUAAUGUGCCUUUGUCCCACUCCUGGAACGCCUCAACAAGUACAAUCAGGCAUGCAGCCGCUUGUGAAUAAUGCAGCGCCUGUGCAACCUUGGUACCCAUUGUUAAAAGGAAAGUUGCCUUUAUUCAUUCACGCCUCUUACUUGUUUUAUUGGUUUUCCAUGUUUCGAUGUGUAACUAUGAUUAUAAUGAAUGUGAGGUCUUUUGUUUUUAUGUUCUGCUACUUUAUGUUGUUAAUGAAUUCCUUCUAAUUGCAGACAAAUACAAGUGUUGCAUCUUCUUUAGGGACAUUUUUCCUGCCCCAGAUCUCAAUGAUCUUCUUGGACAUGUUGAAUGUAUACAGAGUGUACAGGGAGCAUAUUUGAAACACAAAUAUGUACAGUAAGAUUAUAGUGGUUUUUAACAAAUAUUUACUAUUCAGUCCCUUCAUACAAAUUCUUCUGGAAUUAUGCAGGGGAGAUGUCAAAUAGCUGUCUAUUAAGAAUGUUAUGGUGCAAGAAAUGUUCCAAGACUUUACAAUCAUGCGUUUAUAAAGCUUGUGAAACACCAGUCAUCACGCGAGAGUGUUGUCAUUGCUCUGUAAAAGAGUCAUUCGAGUCAGCCAGAGAAGCUUCAGCGAGUGUAACAUCGAAAGGUGCUACAAAGGUUGGGAAAUCAAGUGCAAAUGGUGUUUCAAAACCUGGAAAUCGAUCUGUAUCUGCGGUAUGUGGAGUAUGUUGUUGACCUGGUUGGGGAACCAGGAAAUAUUUUUGGGCCAGAUUCAUCAAUUUAUGGAGCAUACGUGUCUUCCAUACCUUCCCCAUUUCAAAUUUCUCAUAUGAGAGAUUCUCAAUCGCCCUAUGCGGAUGAUGCAGCAUCUCCUCAAGUGAUAUGUUUUAAUCAGAAUUCUCCCAACAAUGACCUGUAUACAGGAAGAUCAACAACAUAAAGAAACUGAUUUGUACAAAAAUAAUAAUAAUGGCUUCAAUUAUGCUUCAGUUGAUCAAACUUGUGGAGCAUUAUUACAUGAAAUUCCAUUUGUUCGGAAAGGUCAAAGAAAUUUCUUACAAUGAGGUCGUUGCAAAUGGAAGUUCGGUGGUAAAUGGGUAUCCAGUCAAAGCUGGAACAGGUAGACAAUAGGCUUGAAAACCAGGGUGCUGCGGAUAUUCCAAAAUAUAUGAAUCUUGAACCAUCACUAGCAAUGGACUGGCUUGAAAUAUCAUGGGAUGAGUAACGGAUCAAAGAGCGCGUUGGUGCUGGAUCAUUUGGGACUGUGUAUCGUGCUGAAUGGCAUGGAUCAGAAGCGUUAUAUCAAGCACUUUUUUCUUCAUGCUGAAAUUUGCUGUAUUCUUUGCAUAUUCAAGGAUGUUGCUGUCAAAGUUUUAUCAGUUCAGAAUUUCCACGAUGACCGAUUGAAAGAGUUUCUGUGAGGCAGUUACAAUUCUUGUUGUUAAUUUCAUUGCUUCAGGUUGCAAUAAUGAAACGUGUUCGCCAUCCAAAUGUGGUGCUCUUCAUGGGUGCGGUUACAAAACGGCCCCAUCUAUCUAUAGUGACAGAGUAUUAGCCUAGAGGUAGUUUAUUCCGCCUGAUACAUUGGCCAUCAACUAGUGAAAUUAAGGAUCCAAGAAGAAGAUUAGCAAUGGCUAUAGACGUGGCUAAAGGGAUCAAUUAUUUUCACUGUCUGAAGCCUCCAGUCGUGCACUGGGAUCUCAAAUCCCCGAACCUGAUGGUAGACAAAAAUUGGAAUGUAAAGGUGUGUGAUUUCGGGUUGUCCAGAUUUAAAGCGAACACUUUCUUGUGAUCAAAAUCUGUUCCUGGAAUGCUGCGUGACAAAAUGAAACCUUGCAAUGUGUACGCUCAGGUGGUUGGAUCAUUUGGGACAGUGUAUCGUGCUGAAUGACAUGGAUCAGCUGCAGAUUAUCUCGAGCAGGCUGGCUGAGUACAAUACGGGUAAUCCUAAUGAGGACCUUAAAACAGAAUCCUUGAUAAAACAACUGCUUUACAACCCCAAGCUUCAAGCUGCAUGUCCUGUUCCAUUUGAUGAAACUAAGUUGUGGAAAGGCCAUAUUGUCCCUGAGCACAAACAAAAAAUUCAACAUUAAUUCAGAAACAUCAGUGCAUUGAUGGAUUGUGUAGGUUGUGAGAAGUGUCGCUUAUGGGGAAAGCUUCAGGUUAUUGGUCUCGGAACUGCAUUGAAGAUUCUCUUCCUGAUGAUGGUCAAGAAAAUCUGGUUCAAACACUGCUGCUUCCAAAUUCUGCUGCUUCAUUUCUGUGGGAAGAUCUUGACCCCUUGAAAUCACUGAAGUAUGAUAUCGAUGAAAUUUUGUACCUGUUUAUUCAGAAUCUUGUUCUGGCAUAUUCAUCUGGUUUGUGGUAGCUUGAGACACUUUUAAAGUUUUUCCCGGUUCUGGCAUAUCGGAACCUAACAUGGCAAUGUUUAACAGAGGUGGCAUCCCUUCAAUUUGGGAGUUUUUAUGAUGUGCAGUAUGUCAAGACGUAUGACAUAUUCAUGGGUCAAUUGCAGUUUGGUCUCAUUUUUGUAACAUCAUACUCCCGCCCAGGGACGGAACCAGUAAAAAUGGUUGAGGGUGGCAGAAAUAUAACACACGACAAACAACAUUGAUUAAUAGGUGUAACAAAUUAAACGGUGGCGAAGACAAAUUUAUGGAUGAGAUUUACAGGGGCGAGCAUGUAUACAUAUGAUGGGGUAUUAUAGCAUUAUAUAAUUGAAGGGUGGCGACAACCCCUUUUGUUCUACACUUGGGUUCCAUCCCUUCUCCCGCUACCUACCACAAAUAUACCUGAGGCACAUAUGCAAAUGGCUCUACUGAAGAACAAUCAUUUAUACAGAACAUGGCAUUGUUCUUCACCUCAUUUUAUAAGGUUCACAGCCGCAUCUUUGGAAUUCACUCGAGAAUAUAUCAAAUUUGCUAUUGGGCCUUGAAUAUCUUAUCACCCUUUCAUAUUGUAGGCCUGAAGCAUCUGAUUCCGAACUAUUUUAAGGUGAUUGCUGGAUUAUGGGUUUUGUUCAUUGUUGGGAGUUGGACCAACUUCUUGACAUUGUUCUACAUAGUUAUAUAGGUCCGGUGGAAUUUGAUUGGGUUGGAUAGUACAUUAGGCCAAACCCGACACACGUACACCUCCAAGUGUAAAGCUACUUGUUGCUGCUGGAGACAGCUCUGAAUGUGUGUGGUGUGCUCUAGCCAGUGGCAAGCAGAGGUUAAUAUACUAUUCGUUCAACUUUAGGAUAAAAACACCUGUAUAUUUUUUACAUACCUAUAUUUGUAUUGGGAGUGGGGAUAUAUUUCCCUUUCGAUGCUAUGUCCUGGCACCUUCUAGUUCUUUUGUUUUUGUUUCAAGAGCAUGAAUGUUCAAGCAUAAAAGGUUCGAAGUAUAUCUUUUUGCAUCUGGCCGGGAAUGAGGAAUUUUGGAAAGGAACAUGAAUUUUCAAGCAUAAAAGGUUUGAAGUAUAUCUUUUUGCAUCUGGCUGGGGAUGAGGAAUUUUGGAAAGGUUGGUUUGUGGGGGUCCUUUUUUCUUGAAUUUUCACUUCCUUUGUUAUAAAUAUUUUUUUUUUACAAUUUACUUUUCGGUUGUGAUAUGUUUUGAGAAUAAUAUGCCUCAAUAUCUUUAGAUUUAAAUAUAGUUUACAUUGUAAUAACAUGCUUUUCUGAGAUCUGUUAUCACACUUCUAUUGACUAUUAUUUUGGAAGGCAUGUUUGCUUCGUGAAAGGCAGGCUUAUUAAUAGUCAAUAGAAGUGUUUGAUCUUCUGGUUCGUGAAAGGCAUGUUUAUUAAUAUCGAAAACAAUCUGGGGUCCUUUGUUAUGUCACAUGAUGUAAACUAUUAAUUAGAUCUCUAUUAAAUUCUUUUUGUUUUCGAUAUUCUUUCUUCUGGUUCUUAUUUACCUCUUGUUUGAUCUUCAUGAUCUAUAUUCUUAAUUGUUUUUGGUUGAUUAUUUUGGUUUCUUGCUUAGAUGUUUUAAUUGGUUUGUUUGUUGAAUUGUUUCUAUCUCGGAGUUUGCGCCUUGCACUACGUACAAGUACGGUUUAAUUUCGUCAUCUUCUUUAAGACUGUCGACAUUUCAGUCUUAGUUCGAUGAGAAUAAUGUGCUGCUUGCUGUCACCGAUGAAGGGUAAAAGGAAAAACUGGAAGAUAGAGCAUGGUCGAGAUUUCCCAAAAAUGAUAAGAGAUAGAAUUUGUUAUCGAAUAAUCAGUGACUAAACCCCUUCCCGGGAGUCAAGGAGAGCAUGGUGUUAUUGGAUCGGCGAGAAGAAUUCCUUUAAAUGAUAUUGCUAACGUUGGUUCUUCAUCUUUGAAAAUAGGAAAAUCAUCACCGACAACAAGUUCGUUGAAGACAGGGAAAUAUACAGUACAUAAUGGUACAUUUAUUAAUCGUGCAAGAUGUUCACUAAGAGCUUCGUUUAGGCGGAAUGUGGAAUCUAUCAAACCACGUCAUAUUGCA